RNAcentral lists this ribosomal RNA (497 nucleotides) under uncultured bacterium. RNAcentral's name for it is "partial 16S ribosomal RNA". It matches the Rfam family "Bacterial small subunit ribosomal RNA", at positions 28 to 507 of the family's 1533-position model. The record is from RNAcentral.
GAUGAACGCUGGCGGCGUGCCUAAUACAUGCAAGUCGAGCGAACAGACGAGGAGCUUGCUCCUCUGACGUUAGCGGCGGACGGGUGAGUAACACGUGGAUAACCUACCUAUAAGACUGGGAUAACUUCGGGAAACCGGAGCUAAUACCGGAUAAUAUAUUGAACCGCAUGGUUCAAUAGUGAAAGACGGUUUUGCUGUCACUUAUAGAUGGAUCCGCGCCGCAUUAGCUAGUUGGUAAGGUAACGGCUUACCAAGGCAACGAUGCGUAGCCGACCUGAGAGGGUGAUCGGCCACACUGGAACGGAGACACGGUCCAGACUCCUACGGGAGGCAGCAGUAGGGAAUCUUCCGCAAAGGGCGAAAGCCUGACGGAGCAACGCCGCGUGAGUGAUGAAGGUCUUCGGAUCGUAAAACUCUGUUAUUAGGGAAGAACAAAUGUGUAAGUAACUAUGCACGUCUUGACGGUACCUAAUCAGAAAGCCACGGCUAACUACGUG